Molecule: ribosomal RNA, 2854 nt
Filed under: archaeon
Lineage: Archaea
Description: partial 23S ribosomal RNA
Rfam family: Archaeal large subunit ribosomal RNA
Source: RNAcentral
GAAGGGCGUGGCAAGCUGCGAUAAGCCUUGGUGAGACGCAUGCAGUCUUUGACCCAGGGAUGCCUGAAUGGGGAAACCAUUAACUCUCAAUAGAGAGAGGGAACGCGGGGAAUUGAAUCAUCUUAGUACCCGCAGGAAAAGAAAGCAAUCGCGAUGCCGUUAGUAAAGUCGAUCGAAAACGGUAUAGAUCAAACUGAAUCCUUGCAAGUAAUUGCAGGGAGAUGUGGUGUUCGCAGAAACGUUUGCAAUCUUGAAAUUUUAGUUGAAGUUCCCUGGAACGGGAUGCCAUAGAGGGUGAUAGCCCCUUAAAUUAUAAAUGGAGAGAUUGUGUUUCUUGCAGAGUAGCAUACGUUGGAAAUCGUGUGUGAAUAUGGGGGACAAUAGCCUCUAAAUCUAAACAUUACUCAAGUCCGAUAGCGUAUUAGUACGGCGACGGAAAGUUGAAAAAUAUCUGUAAAAGGAUGUGAAAAGAGUCUGAAACUAUGUGGUUACAAGCAGGUAUGGCAUGAAAGGACGCUUCGUGCGACCAGUGUCAUACCGUUCGUUUCGAAAAAUGAGGUAGGGAGUGUGCCUAAGUGGUGAGGUUAAUUUUCUUACGAGAAGAAGCCGUAGGGAAACCAAUUACCCGCAGUUUACGAGGGGUAGCGUUUUAAUAUGCGUUUAAUCACUUGGGUACUACCUGAAUCCGUUCGAUCUAAUCCUGGGCAGGAUGAAAUGCUUCGAAAGGAGCAUGGAGGUCCGAAUCCGGUUGUGUAUAGCCUUCGGGUGACCUGGGAUUAGGGGUGAAAAGCCAAUCGAGAACGGCGAUAGCAGGUUCCACUCGAAAUGGGCCGUAGCCCAGCCUGGAGCGAGGUUGUUAUCGGUGUAGAGCUACUGAUCGAGUAUUUAGGGGGAGAAAUCCCUCGGUAUUCUGUCAAACUCCGAAGCCGAUAAUGCUGUAGACCUCUGGAGUGAGUUUCACGGGGUAAUCCCGUGAUGCAAGAGGGAAACAACCCAGACGUAAGUUAAGGCCCUUAAGUGUUUGCUAAGUGUAAAUCAAGAUUGUUUAAGACCUUAUACAGUAGGGAAGUAGGCUCAGAAGCAGCCAUCUUUUAAAGAAAGCGUAACAGCUCACCUACCUAGGUUUUAGGCGUCGCUAAUGGACGGGGCUAAAGCAAACCGCCGAUACUUACGAACUCUUAAAAAGAGAUUUAGUAGAGUGGCGUUGUGUUAGGGCAGAAGCAAGGUUGUGAGAUCUUGUGGACCUUUCAUGAACGAGUAUCCUACCGGUAGUAGUAGUAAAAAGCAAGGUGAGAAUCCUUGUCGCCGAAAGAAUAAGGGUUUCCCGGCAAUGUUCGUCAACCGGGAGUUAGUCGAUCCUAACUCAAGUCCUAACUGGAACUUGUGGGAAUGGGAAGCAGGUAAAUAUUCCUGCACUACAAUAAAUGCAUGAGCUUGCUCGUGUAUAGACUUUGACGCUUUGGGAUAUGCCGACCGCGCUUGUCUGCGUGGUCAAGUAUAUAAGUUCAUGGAGUACCGUCAUGGUGAGAAGUGAAUGAAAGUACGAGUAGCAGUUCUUAUGAAUUGUUCGGCAAAUUUCUAGAGCCCAUGAAAAUCUGUCUAUAAAGUGUUUAUUUGUAAUCGUACUCAGAACCAUUACUGGUGUUCUAGGUUAAAAGCCUAAGGUGUUUCGGGAGUAAUCCAACUUAAGGAACUCAGCAAAUUAGCCCUGUAUCUUCGGUAGAAGGGGUGCCCAUGACUGUAUCUUCGGAUAUAAAUCGUGGGCUUCAAUAAAAAGGGGGGCUCGACUGUUUACCAAAAACGUAGCUGGCUGCUAGACCGAAAGGUUUUGUAUAGCUGGUGACUCUUGCCCAGUGCAGGUAUCAAAAGCUCUGUUUCAACGGAGUGAAUGACCUGUAAACGGCGGUCGUAACUAUGACGAUCUUAAGGUAGCGUAAUCCCUUGCCGAUUAAUUGUCGGCCCGCAUCAAUAGAGUAACGAAGUCCCCACUGUCUUAAGUUGGAAACCGGCGAACCUGAUAUUUUGGUGCACAAUCCAAAGCCUUCCAGAGGGAAGCGAAGACCCCAUGGAGCUUCACUGCAGUCUGUUGUUGUGGUAUGAAGUUAGUUGUAAAGUGUAGAUAGUAGACAUCGAAGUUUAUUCGCAAGGGUAAACGGAGUCGCUCAUGUGACACUAUCCUACUGACUUUGUACUGCUUACCCUGUUUACGCAGGGGACACCGAUUGAUGGGCAGUUUGGCUGGGGCGGCACACCCCUAAUAAUUUAUCAGGGGUGCCCAAUGGUAUCCUCAGACGGAACGGAAACCCGUCGUAGAGCGUAAAAGUAAAAGGAUGCCUGACAGGAUUUUGAUCAGCGAGAAAUCCUGCUACGAAAGUAUGGUUUAGCGAACCCUAGAUACUUCCUAUUGAGGUACUAGGAUGACAGAAAAGCUACCCUGGGGAUAACUGAGUUGUCCGGUGCGAGAGUUCAUAUCGACCACCGGGUUUGCUACUUCGCUGUCGGCUCUUCUCAUCCUGGCUGUGCACAAGCAGCCAAGGGUGGGGGUGUUCACCCAUUAAAGAGGAUCGUGAGCUGGGUUCAGAACGGCGCGAGCCAGUUUGGUUGCUAUCUUCUGGAAGUGUUUAUAUCUGAGGGUAAGGCCUGGAGAGUACGAAAGGAACACCAGACCGGGGCCAAUGGUGAGCCAGUGAUCUGACAAGGUUUCUGGAUAGCUACGCCCUAAGCGAUAAGAGCUGAACGCAUCUAAGCUCGAAGUGCAUCCCAAAAAUAGAUAUUAAGGCUCUUGUAUAAGACAAGUUUGAUAGGCCGGAAGUGUAAUUGCAGUAAUGCAUUCAGCUGACCGGUACUAACCGCC